This is a long non-coding RNA of Bombus impatiens (common eastern bumble bee), 2028 nucleotides long. RefSeq lists it as uncharacterized. Lineage: Eukaryota; Metazoa; Arthropoda; Insecta; Hymenoptera; Apidae. The record is from RefSeq and is a predicted model, not a curated record. The transcript is spliced from 2 exons.
UGUUCGCGGUCACUUUGCCAUCAGACAAGCGCAUGAUCCACGGUUGCUGCAAAGUUUUACGUGAUCGGAACUGUGUAAGAUAUUUUGGUAUCUGGAGUCGAACAUAAAGGUACGUCGAUGGCAGAUCGAGGUAAAUAUAACGCGUAGAAUAAUUCUAAUUGUCAAAUUGGUUGUACAAAUUGGUUAUACCGGUUUGUUUUCGUUACCAUAAAUUGGCGGCAAGUACGAAUGGACGAUGCAGCAGGAGAACGAUGACGAGAAGCAGAACGACUAACGAGGAGAAGAAAAAGGGCGUUUAAUCGCUGAUAAUGAGGAAACGUAUAAUCUCGUUGGUUGGGUGCGAGCGUGGAAGAAAAAGUGUGAAACGAAGAAAGGGCAGGACGAAGUAGCGUGCGAAUGUGUAAAUAAGAUGUGUAAAUAAAAUUGUUUAGGAAUGUAAAGCGUUUUGCGUAAAGCAGGUAAUGAUAAAAGCGUAAAAGUAUAGGAUGAAAAGACGUGGUAUGUAAUAAAGAUGCGCAAAUAAAAUAAGCGCGUAUCUAAUCUGGAUGUGCGAAAGGUAAUAGCGACGUUAAUUUGGUGUGAGAUUUUGUCGAAAUAUGGGCUAGUUUUGUGAAAAUUAUAAAAUGUGUAAAAAGAUCGUAGACGUUAGAGGCGUGAAAGUUGAAAGAAGUAAGAAAGGAAUAAAAAGAGAGUAUAAAAUGAUAAUAGGCAAUACGUAAGGCAAUAUAAUUGUCUGGAUGGUAGAAGAGGGGAUUUAUUUGGAUUCUAAGAGACUAAAGAAUAAGUAAAGAUACAUUUAGGAGAUAUAUGUGUGCAUCGUUUAUUCGACCCUUGAACACAAAUUGUGAAAUUCGGCUUCAAAACAAUAGACGACAGAUGGAGUAGUUUUGAAAGGUUAAUAAUAUGGUUGCUUUAAGAAAGGUGUAACUGUUGAACGUACAAUGGAAUCGGGCAAUCUAAUAGAACACCAUUACGAAAGGUAGUAAUUGUAAUAUGGAAAUAUAUUAGUCGGAAAGAAUCUUGUUCGAAGUUGGAAUCUUGUAAUUACACGGAUACCGUGUGGAAAGCGAUUGACGUUAAAUAAAUUCCACUUGAAGAAAUGAAACGUAUUAAUAUAUAAUAAUAUACGUAAUAAUAUAGAAUAGUAUUAAUGCUAGUAAUUAUAUAGAAUUAUAGGAAAUAUGGAGGUAAUUAGGGUGGAUUGCAACGGUGGAUGAGAAUUAUGGCGCAUUAUGGACACAAACAGGAAAGAAAAAUGUAUCCGUUGGAAGAAGGUUAAGUGGGAGGGAAUAGAAAGAGGAAAUUAUUGAAAAGCUUAAUGUUAUUUGAGAAAGAAAAGUUGGGGUUGAAGAAGAAAGAGAUGUAAUUGUUAUAAAAGAAAAAAAGAGCCGCGAUUGUGGAAGAAAUGGAUUAAGCAGAAAUAUAUGUUUAAGUGAGCGACACGUAAAAAACCCGGUUAGAUUGGUCUGCAGGAUGCGCAUCUUCUUAAUCCCCUAAGUUCAUGGCCUUCUUGCUCGCGGGUUUAGAAUCGGGGAUAUCCUGCGCCGAGCCUUCCUUGUUUCCUGCCGUGAACUCAUCGGUCGCGGGUUUGGUUCUGUAUAAAGAAAAACUUCGAAACGAAUUAAUCGUCGUGCGCAAUGUCUGUCGUGAUCAUGAGGGAUGUGAAACUUUUUAAAGAGUCUAAUUAAUCGUCAAUUGAAGUUGAUCUUGAGUUGAUAGGGCGAGAUCGGAGGAAUGAAAAUUGAAUAAAAUCUGACUUUCCAACGAAAAAUCAUUUUUCCAACCUCUCUGCGAUACUCGUCUUAGAAUGAGAAUGGAAACUAGUCAAUUUGAGAUGAAGAUAAAAAUGCGUCAGACUUUCGCCAGAUUCGAGAAUGAUCGUUACUCUUUCUCCGUCUUUCGUCUUUCGUUUAAUUUCUCGAUGGCCUAAUCGCAGCAAGCUGGAGUCCAUACUGAACGUGUAUCGUAGUUAUUAAUCGCGCCAUGUGAUUUGCCAGGAAUAACAUGAAAUAAAUUUUUAUUAAAAAA